AAGUCGUAACAAGGUCUCCGUUGGUGAACCAGCGGAGGGAUCAUUACCGAGUUUACAACUCCCAAACCCAAUGUGAACGUUACCAAACUGUUGCCUCGGCGGGAUCUCUGCCCCGGGUGCGUCGCAGCCCCGGACCAAGGCGCCCGCCGGAGGACCAACCAAAACUCUUAUUGUAUACCCCCUCGCGGGUUUUUCACUAUCUGAGCCAUCUCGGCGCCCCUCGUGGGCGUUUCGAAAAUGAAUCAAAACUUUCAACAACGGAUCUCUUGGUUCUG
This 275-nucleotide unclassified non-coding RNA is filed under the name Trichoderma virens. RNAcentral describes it as "partial internal transcribed spacer region". The stretch from base 1 to 46 matches the Rfam family "Eukaryotic small subunit ribosomal RNA", at positions 1786 to 1831 of the family's 1831-position model. The record is from RNAcentral. Lineage: Eukaryota; Fungi; Ascomycota; Sordariomycetes; Hypocreales; Hypocreaceae. RNAcentral also lists the same sequence under 1 other name.